This 432-nucleotide ribosomal RNA is filed under the name uncultured Clostridium sp. Its description in RNAcentral is "bacterial SSU rRNA". It matches the Rfam family "Bacterial small subunit ribosomal RNA", at positions 957 to 1393 of the family's 1533-position model. Lineage: Bacteria; Bacillati; Bacillota; Clostridia; Eubacteriales; Clostridiaceae. The record is from RNAcentral.
UAACGCGAAGAACCUUACCUAGACUUGACAUCUCCUGAAUUACUCGUAAUGGAGGAAGCCCUUCGGGGCAGGAAGACAGGUGGUGCAUGGUUGUCGUCAGCUCGUGUCGUGAGAUGUUAGGUUAAGUCCUGCAACGAGCGCAACCCUUAUCAUUAGUUGCUACCAUUAAGUUGAGCACUCUAGUGAGACUGCCGUGGUUAACGCGGAGGAAGGUGGGGAUGACGUCAAAUCAUCAUGCCCCUUAUGUCUAGGGCUACACACGUGCUACAAUGGGCAGUACAGAAAGAUGCAACCUCGCGAGAGUGAGCAAAACUCUAAAACUGCCCCCAGUUCGGAUUGUAGGCUGAAACUCGCCUACAUGAAGCCGGAGUUGCUAGUAAUCGCGAAUCAGCAUGUCGCGGUGAAUACGUUCCCGGGUCUUGUACACACCGA